RNAcentral lists this non-coding RNA (27 nucleotides) under Mus musculus (house mouse). Lineage: Eukaryota; Metazoa; Chordata; Mammalia; Rodentia; Muridae. The record is from RNAcentral.
UGUGUCAUGAGAUACCAGACUGUCAGA